RNAcentral lists this ribosomal RNA (360 nucleotides) under uncultured crenarchaeote. RNAcentral describes it as "bacterial SSU rRNA". It matches the Rfam family "Archaeal small subunit ribosomal RNA", at positions 97 to 459 of the family's 1478-position model. Lineage: Archaea; Thermoproteati; Thermoproteota. The record is from RNAcentral.
CGCGUAGCCAACAAACCUAUGGACGGGGAUAACCUCGGGAAACUGAGACCCUACCCGAUAGAUCAUCAUGCCUGGAAUGGCCGAUGGUUGAAAUGAUUUAUCGCCAUAGGAUGGGACUGCGAUCUAUCAGCUUGUUGGUGAGGUAAUGGCCCACCAAGGCUAUAACAGAUACGGGCUCUGAGAGGAGAAGCCCGGAGAUGGGUACUGAGACACGGACCCAGGCCCUAUGGGGCGCAGCAGGCGAGAAAACUUUGCAAUGUGCGAAAGCACGACAAGGUUAAUCCGAGUGGUUCCUGCUAAAGGAACCUUUUGCCGGUCCUAAAAACACCGGUGAAUAAGGGGUGGGCAAGUUCUGGUGUC